GGCUUAGAGUUUGAUCCUGGCUCAGAUUGAACGCUGGCGGCAUGCCUUACACAUGCAAGUCGAACGGUAACAGGUCUUCGGAUGCUGACGAGUGGCGAACGGGUGAGUAAUACAUCGGAACGUGCCCGAUCGUGGGGGAUAACGGAGCGAAAGCUUUGCUAAUACCGCAUACGAUCUACGGAUGAAAGCAGGGGACCGCAAGGCCUUGCGCGGACGGAGCGGCCGAUGGCAGAUUAGGUAGUUGGUGGGAUAAAAGCUUACCAAGCCGACGAUCUGUAGCUGGUCUGAGAGGACGACCAGCCACACUGGGACUGAGACACGGCCCAGACUCCUACGGGAGGCAGCAGUGGGGAAUUUUGGACAAUGGGCGCAAGCCUGAUCCAGCCAUGCCGCGUGCAGGAUGAAGGCCUUCGGGUUGUAAAAUGCUUUUGUACGGAACGAAAAGACUCUGGUUAAUA
Molecule: ribosomal RNA, 458 nt
Filed under: uncultured bacterium
Lineage: Bacteria
Description: SSU rRNA
Rfam family: Bacterial small subunit ribosomal RNA
Source: RNAcentral